GGCCCCGUAGUGUAGCGGUUUAACACGCCACCCUGUCACGGUGGAGACCGUCGGUUCGAAUCCGAUCGGGGUCGCCA
RNAcentral lists this transfer RNA (77 nucleotides) under Chloroflexota bacterium. RNAcentral's name for it is "Chloroflexi bacterium tRNA-Asp". It matches the Rfam family "tRNA". From Rfam's summary of the family: Transfer RNA (tRNA) molecules are approximately 80 nucleotides in length. Their secondary structure includes four short double-helical elements and three loops (D, anti-codon, and T loops). Lineage: Bacteria; Bacillati; Chloroflexota. The record is from RNAcentral.